Sapajus apella (tufted capuchin) is the source of this 309-nucleotide long non-coding RNA. RefSeq lists it as uncharacterized. The transcript is spliced from 2 exons. NCBI's taxonomy places the organism in Eukaryota, Metazoa, Chordata, Mammalia, Primates, Cebidae. The record is from RefSeq and is a predicted model, not a curated record.
AAACACUUACACAUCUAUAACAUCUUUUUUUCUUUUAAUAUUUUUAAAGAUUUUGCAGCUACAUUGCCUUCUCACUUGCAUUAUUUCCAGCAAGAAAUCUGAUGUUUUCUUUGUUUCUCUGUGUGUAGCGUGUCUUUUUUUCCUCUGAUCACUUUUGAGAGUUUAUCUCCAUCACAAAUUUUCAAUAAUUUGAUUAUUAUAUCCUUAUGCUGUUUUCUUCAUGGUUUUUGUUGUUUGGGGGGUGUUUUGAUUUGUUUUUGUGCUUGGGGUACAUUGAGAAUCUUGGAUUUGUAAAUUUAUAGUGUAGGG